This 887-nucleotide ribosomal RNA is filed under the name Dirina fallax. RNAcentral's name for it is "LSU rRNA". It matches the Rfam family "Eukaryotic large subunit ribosomal RNA", at positions 40 to 943 of the family's 3401-position model. The record is from RNAcentral. Lineage: Eukaryota; Fungi; Ascomycota; Arthoniomycetes; Arthoniales; Roccellaceae.
AUAUCAAUAAGCGGAGGAAAAGAAACCAACAGGGAUUGCCCUAGUAACGGCGAGUGAAGCGGCAACAGCUCAAAUUUGAAAUCUGGCCCCCUCGGGGUUCGAGUUGUAAUUUGUAGAGGAUGCUUCGGCGUCGGCCCCGGGCUAAGUCCCCUGGAACGAGGCGCCCUAGAGGGUGAGAGCCCCGUACUCACUCGGGUGCCCUUCGCCAUGUGAAGCUCCUUCGACGAGUCGAGUUGUUUGGGAAUGCAGCUCUAAGCGGGAGGUAUAUUUCUUCUAAAGCUAAAUACCGGCCAGAGACCGAUAGCGCACAAGUAGAGUGAUCGAAAGAUGAAAAGCACUUUGGAAAGAGAGUUAAAAAGCACGUGAAAUUGUUGAAAGGGAAGCUCUUGCCGCCAGACUUGCCGCGGUCGCUCAGCCGCCCCCCGGGGGCGGUGUACUCUUCCGUCGGCAGGCCAGCGUCGGUUCGGGCGACCGGAUAAAGGCCCUGGGAAUGUAGCACCCUCCGGGGUGUGUUAUAGCCCGGGGUGCAAUGCGGUCAGCCCGGUCCGAGGCACGCGUUCGCGAGGACGCUGGCGUAAUGGCUGCAAGCGACCCGUCUUGAAACACGGACCAAGGAGUCUAACAUCUAUGCGAGUGUUUGGGUCUCAAACUCAUGCGCGUAAUGAAAGUGAACGGAGGUGGGAACCCCCUCGAGGGGCGCACCAUCGACCGAUCCUGAUGUCUUCGGAUGGAUUUGAGUAAGAGCAUAGCUGUUGGGACCCGAAAGAUGGUGAACUAUUCCCGGAUAGGGUGAAGCCAGAGGAAACUCUGGUGGAGGCUCGCAGCGGUUCUGACGUGCAAAUCGAUCGUCAAAUCUAGGAAUAGGGGCGAAAGACUAAUCGAACCAU